GACGAACGCUGGCGGCGUGCUUAACACAUGCAAGUCGAACGGUGAAGCGCCUUCCUUUUUGGUGGGUGGGGAAGAGUGGCGAACGGGUGAGUAACACGUGAGUAACCUGCCCCCUUCUUCUGGAUAACCGCAUGAAAGUGUGGCUAAUACGGGAUAUUCUGUUUCUGUCGCAUGAUGGUUCUGGCAAAGAUAUUGUUUGGGUUGGGGAUGCGCUCGGUGCGUAUCAGCUUGUUGGUGGGGUGAUGGCCUACCAAGGCGGUGUAGGGUAGCCGCCCUGAGAGGAUGGACGGCUACACUGGGAGUAAGACAAGGCAGAGACUACUAGGGAAGGCAGCAGUAGGGAUUCGGGAACAAGGAGCGAAAGAUCGAUGACGCGGCGCGGAGGGAGGAAUGGGCGCCUUCGCGUGGAGAACGUCUUUCGCUAGGGAAGCAGGCCUGCCUUUUGUGUGAGUGGGUUGACGGUAGCUUGAUAAGAAGCGCCGGCUAACUACGUG
RNAcentral lists this ribosomal RNA (494 nucleotides) under uncultured bacterium. RNAcentral's name for it is "partial 16S ribosomal RNA". It matches the Rfam family "Bacterial small subunit ribosomal RNA", at positions 28 to 507 of the family's 1533-position model. The record is from RNAcentral.